UAGGGAAACUUACGCUAAUACCGCAUACGACCUUAGGGUGAAAGCGGAGGACCUUCGGGCUUCGCGCGGAUAGAUGAGCCGAUGUCGGAUUAGCUAGUUGGCGGGGUAAAGGCCCACCAAGGCGACGAUCCGUAGCUGGUCUGAGAGGAUGAUCAGCCACACUGGAACUGAGACACGGUCCAGACUCCUACGGGAGGCAGCAGUGGGGAAUAUUGGACAAUGGGCGCAAGCCUGAUCCAGCCAUGCCGCGUGGGUGAAGAAGGCCUUCGGGUUGUAAAGCCCUUUUGUUGGGAAAGAAAAGCAGCCGGUUAAUACCCGGUUGUUCUGACGGUACCCAAAGAAUAAGCACCGGCUAACUUCGUGCCAGCAGCCGCGGUAAUACGAAGGGUGCAAGCGUUACUCGGAAUUACUGGGCGUAAAGCGUGCGUAGGUGGUUGUUUAAGUCCGUUGUGAAAGCCCUGGGCUCAACCUGGGAAUUGCAGUGGAUACUGGGCAACUAGAGUGUGGUAGAGG
RNAcentral lists this ribosomal RNA (513 nucleotides) under Xanthomonas sp. Its description in RNAcentral is "bacterial SSU rRNA". It matches the Rfam family "Bacterial small subunit ribosomal RNA", at positions 149 to 657 of the family's 1533-position model. Lineage: Bacteria; Pseudomonadati; Pseudomonadota; Gammaproteobacteria; Lysobacterales; Lysobacteraceae. The record is from RNAcentral.